RNAcentral lists this transfer RNA (58 nucleotides) under Pachydactylus caraculicus. RNAcentral describes it as "tRNA-Cys". The record is from RNAcentral. Lineage: Eukaryota; Metazoa; Chordata; Lepidosauria; Squamata; Gekkonidae.
AGUCCGGAAAAACCCGAAAUGCAAAUCCGGAGAAGCGACCCAAAAGUCGCCCGGACUU